UUUCAUUCACGAAAUAUUCCAACAAACCCAUGGUACAAUUUAAUAGCUUACACAACACUAGACACAUCCACGCAUUGACAGACUCACUCAGUAUCCAGCAGACUCACCAACUCACAAAAGUAUCCACGGACUCACAAAGUAUCCAACACUUCACAUUUCAUAGCUCUAGAAAGCCCAAUAGUAAUCUCGUUCUUUUCAACUUCAUAAUACCUUUCACAUUUUUUGUUCACCCAUUAAUCUCGAAUACUCUCAUCAAUUAGUCUACUUAAGUCACAUGUUUCCCAUUUUCACAAUCUCAAAUAUCACAUAACAAAUACACAACAUCAAUAUUAAUCAUUUCUCUACCAACUUUACAAUCACACGGCAUUUCAUCACCCAAAUACCUACACAAUGUGUGCAAUAGUUGCACUAACGAACUUCCACAACUAUUGAUUAUCUCGAUACUAAAAUUUAAUUACCAAUACAAGUACAAACAAAUUUACAAAUUCCUUCUUAAAUACCAACAAGACUCGGGGGUUGAAAA
Molecule: long non-coding RNA, 523 nt
Organism: Rhododendron vialii
Lineage: Eukaryota; Viridiplantae; Streptophyta; Magnoliopsida; Ericales; Ericaceae
Exons: 2
Source: RefSeq, a predicted model, not a curated record